Drosophila willistoni is the source of this 711-nucleotide long non-coding RNA. RefSeq lists it as uncharacterized. The transcript is spliced from 3 exons. NCBI's taxonomy places the organism in Eukaryota, Metazoa, Arthropoda, Insecta, Diptera, Drosophilidae. The record is from RefSeq and is a predicted model, not a curated record.
GAAAAUCACGUACACGCGUAAACUUGGUCAAGUGUGGCAAGAGUUAAGGAUAACAAAUUUUCAUAAAGAAUAGCAACAGAGAUCUUUUUCACUUAAUUCUAGACUUAAAUUGUCCAACGCAAAGAUAUCAAUGCUGUAAAACAGCCCAUGGCGGCGCCUAUCAAAAGGGAUAGGAAGAAUAUGGAAAAGAAAUCACUCAUUGAACGUAAAAACGCAGUGGUUUCGAAUUCGCCCGUAUUUGAAUAAUGUUCUCCAUAGUUUUGUAUGGCCCUGCAAAGAGAAGAGAAUCAAAUUAAAGUCCAAAACUAAAAGUCAUCCUUAGAUCUUCAAGCUUACCCGCUAAGUACAAUAGCCACAGCAUCGUUUAAUACAGAUUCACCCAAGACCAAUGCAUAAAGAUUAACAUCCACACGCAGAUCAUUGAAUAUGGCUAAAAUUGUUAAUGGAUCUGUGGGUGAUAUUAAUGCACCAAAAUACAAUGUAUCCAGAAAGGAUAAACUGCUGCUUAAAUAUUUUGGCAUCAAUUUCGCACAGCCAUACAUAACGCCGCCAAUUAGAAAGGCUGACAAUGUGGUACCCACAAUGGCAAAUGUCAAAAUGGCACCCAAAUUGCGAAAAAAGUAUUUCUGCAAAGAUAUAUAGAUUGAACUUACGUUAAUUAUGUUCAUUUGAUUUUACGCCAAAUAAUAAUAAAACCUUUUUUAAACUAUA